Molecule: ribosomal RNA, 484 nt
Filed under: uncultured bacterium
Lineage: Bacteria
Description: partial 16S ribosomal RNA
Rfam family: Bacterial small subunit ribosomal RNA
Source: RNAcentral
AUUGAACGCUGGCGGCAGGCCUAACACAUGCAAGUCGAGCGGAUGAAGGGAGCUUGCUCCUGUAUUCAGCGGCGGACGGGUGAGUAAUGCCUAGGAAUCUGCCUUGUAGUUGGGGAUAACGUCCGGAAACGGGCGCUAAUACCGCAUACGUCCUGAGGGUGAAAGUGGGGGAUCUUCGGACCUCACGCUAUCAGAUGAGCCUAGGUCGGAUUAGCUAGUUGGUGAGGUAAAGGCCUACCAAGGCGACGAUCCGUAACUGACCUGAGAGGAUGAUCAGCCACACUGGAACUGAGACACGGUCCAGACUCCUACGGGAGGCAGCAGUGGGGAAUCUUGCGCAAUGGGCGAAAGCCUGACGGAGCAACGCCGCGUGAGUGAUGAAGGCCUUCGGAUCGUAAAACUCUGUUAGUAGGGAAGAACAGAAGUGUAAGUAACUGUGCACGUCUUGACGUUACCUAAAGAGAAAGCAACGGCUAACUACGUG